CCUGGGGCCGGGAAGUCAGGAGGGAGGGGGGCUGUCCCGGACUCGGUGGUACUGUCUGCCUGUCAAGCCCCCAGUGACCCUGACUGAGGAGGCCGAGGAGGGGGUGAUCUACACAGUGACCACACGCCAGCCCGGGGGCGCCCAGCCAGGGGCCCCGGUGGGGGCAGGGAGCCAGGCCCGCUCGCUGAAGGCCGGGUCGCUGGUCCGGCUGGUUCGGCACCUGCUGGAGGCCCAGAUGCUGGGCGACACCACCUACGUUCCUGCCUUCCUGGUCACCUACCGGGUGUUUGCUCACCCUCCUACGGUGCUGGGGCUGCUGCUUGACAGGCUGGAGGAGGUCGGGGCGCUGGAGCUGGGGCCCGUCUCCCCAGAGACAGCUGAGCUACAGCGGUGAGUGACACCCCCCACAGCCUCCCCCUCCCUUCCCCUGGCUGUGUCCCCCAUUCACCCCCAUCUCCCCCCAGGGCCUUCUCCUCGGUGAUGUGCUCCUGGCUGGACGGGUACCCCGAGGAUUUCGGAGGGGCCUUGGACCCGGGCCUGGUGGAGCGACUGGGCCGGAGCCUGCAAUGUGCCCUGGGGCAGGGCUCCGAGGCCGAGAGAUGCCUGCUCGCCCUACGGGGGGUGCAGGGAGGGCCCAGCAAUGGAGGUGAGGCGUGACUAGAAUAGGGAUUCUAUUUAAUGGGGGUGGGGAAGCCUGCAGACAGGGGAGGGAGGC
RNAcentral lists this long non-coding RNA (715 nucleotides) under Gopherus agassizii (Agassiz's desert tortoise). RNAcentral's name for it is "lncRNA (ENSGAGG00000015212.1)". The record is from RNAcentral. Lineage: Eukaryota; Metazoa; Chordata; Testudines; Testudinidae.